RNAcentral lists this ribosomal RNA (429 nucleotides) under Actinomycetes bacterium. RNAcentral's name for it is "Actinobacteria bacterium partial 16S ribosomal RNA". It matches the Rfam family "Bacterial small subunit ribosomal RNA", at positions 355 to 776 of the family's 1533-position model. Lineage: Bacteria; Bacillati; Actinomycetota; Actinomycetes. The record is from RNAcentral.
UAGGGAAUCUUCCGCAAUGGGCGAAAGCCUGACGGAGCAACGCCGCGUGAGUGAUGAAGGUCUUCGGUUCGUAAAACUCUGUUAUUAGGGAAGAACAACUGUGUAAGUAACUAUGCACGUCUUGACGGUACCUAACCAGAAAGCCACGGCUAACUCCGUGCCAGCAGCCGCGGUAAUACGUAGGUGGCAAGCGUUAUCCGGAAUUAUUGGGCGUAAAGCGCGCGUAGGCGGUUUUUUAAGUCUGAUGUGAAAGCCCACGGCUCAACCGUGGAGGGUCAUUGGAAACUGGAAGACGUGAGUGCAGAAGAGGAAAGUGGAAUUCCAUGUGUAGCGGUGAAAUGCGCAGAGAUAUGGAGGAACAGCAGUGGCGAAGGCGACUUUCUGGUCUGUAACUGACGCUGAUGUGCGAAAGCGUGGGGAUCAAACAGG